UACGGAGGGUGCGAGCGUUAAUCGGAAUUACUGGGCGUAAAGGGCGCGUAGGCGGUGGGUUACGUCUGCCGUGAAAUCCCCGGGCUCAACCUGGGAAUGGCGGUGGAAACGGGCUGACUGGAGUAUGGGCGAGGGUGAUGGAAUUCCAGGUGUAGCGGUGAAAUGCGUAGAGAUCUGGAGGAACACCAGUGGCGAAAGCGGUCACCUGGCCCAAUACUGACGCUGAGGAGCGAAAGCGUGGGGAGCAAACAGG
RNAcentral lists this ribosomal RNA (253 nucleotides) under uncultured bacterium. Its description in RNAcentral is "partial 16S ribosomal RNA". It matches the Rfam family "Bacterial small subunit ribosomal RNA", at positions 524 to 776 of the family's 1533-position model. The record is from RNAcentral.